AGCGAAAGUUGUACUAAUACCGCAUGAGACCACGGGUAGACAUCUACCAGGGGUCAAAGGAGCAAUCCGGUAAGGGGUGGGCUCGCGUCCGAUUAGAUAGUUGGUGAGGUAACGGCCCACCAAGUCGACGAUCGGUAGCCGACCUGAGAGGGUGAUCGGCCACAUUGGGACUGAGACACGGCCCAAACUCCUACGGGAGGCAGCAGUGGGGAAUAUUGGGCAAUGGGGGAAACCCUGACCCAGCAACGCCGCGUGAGGGAAGAAGGUUUUCGGAUCGUAAACCUCUGUCCUUGGUGAAGAGGAAGAGACGGUAGCCAAGGAGGAAGCCCCGGCUAACUACGUGCCAGCAGCCGCGGUAAUACGUAGGGGGCGAGCGUUGUCCGGAAUGAUUGGGCGUAAAGGGCGCGUAGGCGGCCCGGUAAGUCUGGAGUGAAAGUCCUGCUUUUAAGGUGGGAAUUGCUUUGGAUACUGUCGGGCUUGAGUGCAGGAGAGGUAAGUGGAAUUCCCAGUGUAGCGGUGAAAUGCGUAGAGAUUGGGAGGAACACCAGUGGCGAAGGCGACUUACUGGACUGUAACUGAC
This 580-nucleotide ribosomal RNA is filed under the name uncultured rumen bacterium. Its description in RNAcentral is "bacterial SSU rRNA". It matches the Rfam family "Bacterial small subunit ribosomal RNA", at positions 150 to 744 of the family's 1533-position model. The record is from RNAcentral.